This 301-nucleotide ribosomal RNA is filed under the name uncultured bacterium. RNAcentral describes it as "partial 16S ribosomal RNA". It matches the Rfam family "Bacterial small subunit ribosomal RNA", at positions 509 to 809 of the family's 1533-position model. The record is from RNAcentral.
CAGCCGCCACGGGAAUGCGUAGGUGGCAAGCGUUGUCCGGAAUUAUUGGGCGUAAAACGCGCGCAGGCGGAUCGGUCAGUCUGUCUUAAAGGUUCGGGGCUUAACCCCGUGAUGGGAUGGAAACUGCCAAUCUAGAGCAUCGGAGAGGAAAGUGGAAUUCCUAGUGUAGCGGUGAAAUGCGUAGAUACUAGGAAGAACACCAGUGGCGAAGGCGACUUUCUGGACGAAAACUGACGCUGAGGCGCGAAAGCCAGGGGAGCGAACGGGAUUAGAUACCCCCGUAGUCCCUGUCUCUUAUACA